This 25-nucleotide non-coding RNA is filed under the name Dasypus novemcinctus (nine-banded armadillo). Its record names the gene dno-miR-500a-5p. RNAcentral also lists the same sequence under 11 other names. Lineage: Eukaryota; Metazoa; Chordata; Mammalia; Cingulata; Dasypodidae. The record is from miRBase by way of RNAcentral.
UAAUCCUUGCUACCUGGGUGAGAGU